RNAcentral lists this unclassified non-coding RNA (208 nucleotides) under uncultured Inocybaceae. RNAcentral describes it as "sequence contains ITS2". The record is from RNAcentral. Lineage: Eukaryota; Fungi; Basidiomycota; Agaricomycetes; Agaricales.
AGUUCUCAACUGCAUCAAUCUUUUUGAUGUGGCUUUUGGAUAUGGGAGUUUUUGCAGGCUUUUGAAAAUGAAGAGUCUGCUCUCCUGAAAUGAAUUAGUGGUAUCUGAGCAGUAGACAACUACUACAGGUGUGAUAAAUUAUCUACGCCUUGGUACACUGCAUGAACAGAUUGCACUGCUUCUAACAAGUGGGAAACACAUUUGAUGA